GUCGAAAUUGACACUUCUGGAAAUCCUGAUCCGAACAAUUAUCCAGCGAUAAUUGUUUAGUUGUGUAAUCUUGUGUUUGUUGUCAAGACAUCCAAAUUGAUGUGUUUUGUGGUAGCGGGUGACUCGUGGUACGAGUCGGUGAGUUUCAAGACGAUUAGUCGGUCUCGACAGCGUCCCGGUGUGAUUUUCGAGACUUCCGGCGAGUUACGGUGAUCGGUUUUAAGAAACCGAUUUUGAGGAAUUGUGUGGGGUUCGUGAGUUGGCUAUUUUAGAUUGGUGGGUUGGUUACUAACCCGGUGG
This 300-nucleotide long non-coding RNA is filed under the name Ananas comosus (pineapple). Its description in RNAcentral is "long non-coding RNA (ACOM_LNC012390)". The record is from RNAcentral. Lineage: Eukaryota; Viridiplantae; Streptophyta; Magnoliopsida; Poales; Bromeliaceae.